AGAUUGAACGCUGGCGGCGUGCUUAACACAUGCAAGUCGAGCGGUAACGCGGGAGCAAUCCUGGCGACGAGCGGCGAACGGGUGAGUAAUGCUUGGGAAUCUGCCCAUUAGUGGGGAACAACCAGCCGGAAGGUUGGCUAAUACCGCAUACGCCCUACGGGGGAAAGCGGGGGAUCGUAAGACCUCGCGCUAAUGGAUGAGCCCAAGUCGGAUUAGCUUGUUGGUAGGGUAACGGCCUACCAAGGCGACAAUCCGUAGCUGGUCUGAGAGGACGACCAGCCACACUGGGACUGAGACACGGCCCAGACUCCUACGGGAGGCAGCAGUGGGGAAUAUUGGACAAUGGGGGCAACCCUGAUCCAGCGACGCCGCGUGUGUGAAGAAGGCCUGCGGGUUGUAAAGCACUUUUAGUGGGGAUGAAAAGCUCAGGGUUACACCUCUGGGUCUUGACCUAACCCACAGAAAAGCACCGGCUAACUCUGUGCCAGCAGCCGCGGU
RNAcentral lists this ribosomal RNA (498 nucleotides) under uncultured bacterium. Its description in RNAcentral is "SSU rRNA". It matches the Rfam family "Bacterial small subunit ribosomal RNA", at positions 26 to 521 of the family's 1533-position model. The record is from RNAcentral.